This 464-nucleotide ribosomal RNA is filed under the name uncultured bacterium. Its description in RNAcentral is "partial 16S ribosomal RNA". It matches the Rfam family "Bacterial small subunit ribosomal RNA", at positions 338 to 795 of the family's 1533-position model. The record is from RNAcentral.
CCUACGGGAGGCUGCAGUAGGGAAUCUUGCACAAUGGGCGAAAGCCUGAUGCAGCAACGCCGCGUGAGUGAGGACGUCUUCGGGUCGUAAAACCUUGUUGUUAGAGGAGAAAGUGCGUGAGAGUAGCUGUUCACGUCUCGACGGUAUAUAACCAGAAAGCCACGGCUAACUACGAGCCACCAGCCGCGGUAAUACGUAGGGGGCAAGCGUUAUCCGUAUUUAUUGGGCGUAAAGGGAACGUAGGCGGGUCUGUAAGUCUGAUGUGAAAGCCUGCGGAUUAACCGGAGUAGUGCAGUUGAAACUGGUAGACUUGAGUGCAGGAGAGGUAAGUGGAAUUCGUGGUGUAGCGGUGAAAUGCGUAGAUAUUAGGAAGAACACCAGUUGCGAAGGCGGCUUACUGGUCUGUAACUGACGCUGAGGCUCGAAAGCGUGGGUAGCAAACAGGAUUAGAUACCCGAGUAGUC